Molecule: ribosomal RNA, 488 nt
Filed under: uncultured bacterium
Lineage: Bacteria
Description: partial 16S ribosomal RNA
Rfam family: Bacterial small subunit ribosomal RNA
Source: RNAcentral
GACGAACGCUGGCGGCGUGCUUAACACAUGCAAGUCGAACGGAAAGGCCCUGCUUUCGUGGGGUGCUCGAGUGGCGAACGGGUGAGUAACACGUGAGUAACCUGCCCUUGACUUUGGGAUAACUUCAGGAAACUGGGGCUAAUACCGGAUAGGAGCUCCUGCUGCAUGGUGGGGGUUGGAAAGUUUCGGCGGUUGGGGAUGGACUCGCGGCUGAUCAGCUAGUUGGUGGGGUAAUGGAUUACCAAGGCUUUGAUGGGUAGCCGGCCUGAGAGGGUGAACGGCCACAUUGGGACUGAGACACGGCCCAAACGCAGACGGGAGGCAGCAGUGGGGAAUCGUCCGCAAUGGGCGAAAGCCGGACGGAGCAAUGCCGCGUGAGUGAAGAAGGCCUUCGGGUUGUAAAACUCUGUCCUUAUCGAAGAGAGAGUGUUGUAGUAAUUGACAAUACUAGGACGGUAGAUGAGGAGGAAGCCCCGGCGAACUAUGGG